RNAcentral lists this non-coding RNA (120 nucleotides) under Cricetulus griseus (Chinese hamster). RNAcentral describes it as "ODC internal ribosome entry site (IRES)". It matches the Rfam family "ODC internal ribosome entry site (IRES)". The record is from Rfam by way of RNAcentral. Lineage: Eukaryota; Metazoa; Chordata; Mammalia; Rodentia; Cricetidae.
GUUUCCCCUGCUGCUCCAAGGAGACAAGAGUUGGAAUUCCUGCAGGUUUACUUUUGUGAUGAGCUAGAAACCAUCUCUUUAAUUCCAUCUCAUAGUUUUCCACAGGUUCAUAGAGAAACC